GACGAACGCUGGCGGCGUGCUUAACACAUGCAAGUCGAACGGUAAGGCCCUUCGGGGUACACGAGUGGCGAACGGGUGAGUAACACGUGGGUGAUCUACCCUGCACUUCGGGAUAAGCCUGGGAAACUGGGUCUAAUACCGGAUAGGACCCUGGGAUGCAUGUCCUGAGGGGGAAAGCUUUUGCGGUGUGGGAUGGGCCCGCGGCCUAUCAGCUUGUUGGUGGGGUGAUGGCCUACCAAGGCGACGACGGGUAGCCGGCCUGAGAGGGUGACCGGCCACACUGGGACUGAGAUACGGCCCAGACUCCUACGGGAGGCAGCAGUGGGGAAUAUUGCACAAUGGGCGCAAGCCUGAUGCAGCGACGCCGCGUGAGGGAUGACGGCCUUCGGGUUGUAAACCUCUUUCAGCACCGACGAAGCGCAAGUGACGGUAGGUGCAGAAGAAGGACCGGCCAACUACGUGCCAGCCGCCGCCGUAA
Molecule: ribosomal RNA, 478 nt
Filed under: uncultured bacterium
Lineage: Bacteria
Description: partial 16S ribosomal RNA
Rfam family: Bacterial small subunit ribosomal RNA
Source: RNAcentral